RNAcentral lists this unclassified non-coding RNA (144 nucleotides) under uncultured Hymenoscyphus. RNAcentral's name for it is "sequence contains ITS2". The record is from RNAcentral. Lineage: Eukaryota; Fungi; Ascomycota; Leotiomycetes; Helotiales; Helotiaceae.
UGACCACUCAAGCCUGGCUUGGUAUUGGGGUUCGCGGUCCCGCGGCUCUUAAAAUCAGUGGCGGCGCCAUCUGGCUCUAAGCGUAGUAAUCUCUCUCGCUACAGAGUCCUGGUGGAUGCUUGCCAGCAACCCCUUAUUUUCUUA